RNAcentral lists this ribosomal RNA (421 nucleotides) under uncultured bacterium. Its description in RNAcentral is "bacterial SSU rRNA". It matches the Rfam family "Bacterial small subunit ribosomal RNA", at positions 356 to 774 of the family's 1533-position model. The record is from RNAcentral.
AAGGAAUAUUGGACAAUGGAGGCAACUCUGAUCCAGCCAUGCCGCGUGAAGGAAUAAGGCCCUAUGGGUUGUAAACUUCUUUUAGACGGGACAAAACCCCUUUACGUGUAAAGGGUUGAUGGUACUGUCAGAAUAAGCAUCGGCUAACUUCGUGCCAGCAGCCGCGGUAAUACGAAGGAUGCAAGCGUUAUCCGGAAUUAUUGGGUUUAAAGGGUGCGCAGGCGGACUAAUAAGUCAGUGGUGAAAGCCUGCAGCUUAACUGCAGAAUUGCCAUUGAUACUGUUAGUCUUGAGUACAGUUGAGGUAGGCGGAAUGUGUCAUGUAGCGGUGAAAUGCUUAGAUAUGACACAGAACACCGAUUGCGAAGGCAGCUUGCUAAGCUGUAACUGACGCUGAGGCACGAAAGCGUGGGGAGCAAACA